ACGUAGGGUGCGAGCGUUAAUCGGAAUUACUGGGCGUAAAGGGUGCGUAGGCGGCUAUGUAAGUCAGGAGUGAAAGUUUGCGGCUCAACCGUAAAAUUGCUUUUGAUACUGCAUGGCUGGAAUUAGGAUGAGGUCAGCGGAAUGUGGCAUGUAGCGGUGAAAUGCAUAGAUAUGCCAUAGAACACCAAUUGCGAAGGCAGCUGGCUAGACCUGGAUUGACGCUGAGGCACGAAAGCGUGGGGAGCGAACAGGA
This 253-nucleotide ribosomal RNA is filed under the name uncultured prokaryote. RNAcentral describes it as "partial 16S ribosomal RNA". It matches the Rfam family "Bacterial small subunit ribosomal RNA", at positions 525 to 777 of the family's 1533-position model. The record is from RNAcentral.